CUCAGAUUGAACGCUGGCGGCAUGCCUAACACAUGCAAGUCGAACGGCAGCACAGCAGUAGCAAUACUGUGGGUGGCGAGUGGCGGACGGGUGAGGAAUACGUCGGAAUCUGCCCAGUCGUGGGGGAUAACUAGCCGAAAGGUUAGCUAAUACCGCAUACGACCGAGAGGUGAAAGCGGGGGACCGCAAGGCCUCGCGCGAUUGGAUGAGCCGACGUCGGAUUAGCUAGUUGGCGGGGUAAAGGCCCACCAAGGCGACGAUCCGUAGCUGGUCUGAGAGGAUGAUCCGCCACACUGGGACUGAGACACGGCCCAGACUCCUACGGGAGGCAGCAGUGGGGAAUUUUGGACAAUGGGCGCAAGCCUGAUCCAGCCAUGCCGCGUGAGUGAAGAAGGCCUUCGGGUUGUAAAGCUCUUUCGGUGGGGAAGAAAUUGCUUCGGUUAAUACCUGGAGUAGAUGACGGUACCCGCAUAAGAAGCACCGGCUAACUACGUG
This 495-nucleotide ribosomal RNA is filed under the name uncultured bacterium. RNAcentral's name for it is "bacterial SSU rRNA". It matches the Rfam family "Bacterial small subunit ribosomal RNA", at positions 23 to 507 of the family's 1533-position model. The record is from RNAcentral.